Molecule: ribosomal RNA, 433 nt
Filed under: uncultured bacterium
Lineage: Bacteria
Description: bacterial SSU rRNA
Rfam family: Bacterial small subunit ribosomal RNA
Source: RNAcentral
GCGCGGCUAACUCUGUGCCAGCAGCCGCGGUAAUACAGAGGGUGCAAGCGUUAAUCGGAUUUACUGGGCGUAAAGCGCGCGUAGGCGGCUAAUUAAGUCAAAUGUGAAAUCCCCGAGCUUAACUUGGGAAUUGCAUUCGAUACUGGUUAGCUAGAGUGUGGGAGAGGAUGGUAGAAUUCCAGGUGUAGCGGUGAAAUGCGUAGAGAUCUGGAGGAAUACCGAUGGCGAAGGCAGACAUCUGGCCUAACACUGACGCUGAGUGUGCGAAAGCAUGGGGAGCAAACAGGAUUAGAUACCCUGGUAGUCCAUGCCGUAAACGAUGUCUACAUAGCCGUUGGGAGCCUUUGAAGGCUUUAGUAGGCGCAGGUAACGCGAUAAGUAGACCGACUGGGGAGUACAGUCGCAAGAAUAAAACUCAAAUGAAUUGACGGGG